RNAcentral lists this transfer RNA (67 nucleotides) under Lepidostoma inops. Its description in RNAcentral is "tRNA-Lys". Lineage: Eukaryota; Metazoa; Arthropoda; Insecta; Trichoptera; Lepidostomatidae. The record is from RNAcentral.
CAUUAGAUAACUAAACAUUAAGUAAUGGUCUCUUAAACCGUAAAUAGUAAAUUAUUACUUCUAGUGA